GUGGGGAAUUUUGGACAAUGGGCGAAAGCCUGAUCCAGCCAUGCCGCGUGAGUGAAGAAGGCCUUCGGGUUGUAAAGCUCUUUCGGCUGGGACGAAAAGGUUCGUGUUAACACCACGGAUCCAUGACGGUACCAGCAGAAGAAGCACCGGCUAACUACGUGCCAGCAGCCGCGGUAAUACGUAGGGUGCAGGCGUUAAUCGGAAUUACUGGGCGUAAAGCGUGCGCAGGCGGUUUGCUAAGACAGGUGUGAAAUCCCCGGGCUUAACCUGGGAACUGCGCUUGUAACUGGCAAGCUAGAGUGUGGCAGAGGGGGGUGGAAUUCCACGUGUAGCAGUGAAAUGCGUAGAGAUGUGGAGGAACACCGAUGGCGAAGGCAGCCCCCUGGGCUAACACUGACGCUCAUGCACGAAAGCGUGGGGAGCAAACAGGAUUAGAAACCCUAGUAGUCC
RNAcentral lists this ribosomal RNA (450 nucleotides) under uncultured bacterium. Its description in RNAcentral is "bacterial SSU rRNA". It matches the Rfam family "Bacterial small subunit ribosomal RNA", at positions 354 to 796 of the family's 1533-position model. The record is from RNAcentral.